UACGAAGGGGGCUAGCGUUGCUCGGAAUCACUGGGCGUAAAGCGCACGUAGGCGGAUUUCUAAGUCAGGGGUGAAAUCCUGGAGCUCAACUCCAGAACUGCCUUUGAUACUGGGAAUCUUCGAGUCCGGGAGAGGUGAGUGGAACUGCGAGUGUAGAGGUGAAAUUCGUAGAUAUUCGCAAGAACACCAGUGGCGAAGGCGGCUCACUGGCCCGGUACUGACGCUGAGACGCGAAAGCGUGGGGAGCGAACAGG
Molecule: ribosomal RNA, 254 nt
Filed under: uncultured bacterium
Lineage: Bacteria
Description: partial 16S ribosomal RNA
Rfam family: Bacterial small subunit ribosomal RNA
Source: RNAcentral